Haliotis rubra (blacklip abalone) is the source of this 1905-nucleotide long non-coding RNA. RefSeq lists it as uncharacterized. The transcript has 2 exons. The record is from RefSeq and is a predicted model, not a curated record. Lineage: Eukaryota; Metazoa; Mollusca; Gastropoda; Lepetellida; Haliotidae.
AUGGAUGAAGGCUUACAUUGAAUUUAACACACUCAAACGCCGAGAAGCGAGAGAUGACUUUUCGAAAGAUUUGUUCAAAUUGCUCUCAAAUGCUGUGUAUGGAAAACAGUUACAAAAUGUAAGAAAGUACAACCAAAUUGAAUUAAUCACCACCGAAGAAAGGAGAAACAGGUUUAUGGCAAAAUCAAAUUUCAAAAGUGUAAAUAUUUUUUCAGAACAUUUGGUUGUAGUGAGCAUGGAGAAAGUGUGCGUGACAUUGAACCAACCCGUCGCCGUGGGUUUCACCAUUUUGGAACACGCUAAGAGACUUCUCUAUGAUUUCCAUUACAAUGUCAUGUUAAAGGAAUAUGCAAGCGACCAUGUCAGAGUCCUGAUGACGGACACAGAUAGUUUGUUUUAUCAAAUCUGGUCACCUGUAGGUACUCCUCUCCGAGAUCCUCAAGACUUUAUGUCGGCUAACCUUCACCUGUUCGAUACCUCUAACUAUCCCAAAGACCAUCCACUUCAUUCCAUGGAAAGACACAAAGUCAUCGGUCUGAUGAAAGAUGAAGUGGGUGGUAAAAGCAUCAGAGAGUUUGUCGGACUUCGACCAAAAAACUAUAGUUUUAUUUUUGACAAAACUCCCAGUGAACGAGCCGAGAAACGCACUGCCAAAGGGGUGCAAAAAGCCUUCGUCAAAAAACAUCUUCGGCAUCAAAUGUACAAAGACUGUCUUUUCAAACACGAACAAAAUAUGGCCACAUAUCAUCAGAUUCGAUCCAUUCACAACACCCUCUACACAGAAAAAGUGACCAAAGUGGCAUUGACGCCACAAGAUGACAAGCGAUACAUUUUGGCAGAUGGCAUCGAAUCUCGACCCUAUGGAUUUAAUCCUAUUUAGAAGUUUGUAACUUGCUCCUUGCUAAGGAAAAAUUCUGAAACUCCCCCCUCAUUGGUUCACUAAGUGUCUAGCAAACAAGAACACAAGAAACCUUCUGGUGUUCCUGAAAGUGUGAAAAACCAAAAGAAUGAGCGGAAAUCCUACGAGACAAUACCGCUACAAGGUAACUGGAAACCGUGGAGAAGUGCUGAAGGAAGGGAGAAUUCUACAGCGAAGUCAUCUUGCAGCUUGUGUUGCAGGAGCACGAUGUCUGGAGAGAACGCUGAGACGUCAGCUGAAUGGAGCAGCAGAGAGCACGCAUCACCGGGGACCAUUCUCCGUGACCAGCCAUGAGGUCGUUAUGCCAAGACGAGCACGUGAAAUAAGAAGUCUGACACAUAUUCGUUCAGCGUUUGAAUCCGCAAUGGAAUCUGUUUAUGUGGAUGAACUUCAGGGCAAAGUGAAUGAAUUGUGUAAUAAAAACUGUUAUGGAUGUGAAAUUGAUCAUCCGUCUCAAGUUCAUCAUGCGUGUCUGAUGAUGGAUGGUGAUGAGCGGAUUGAUAGGUAUUUUGAUGAUGCAUUGUUAACAAUGCCUCACAGACUCAUCAUCGAAAAGGCAAGAGAGCGAAUGACUUCAUCAUCAUCAUCAUCAUUAUCAUCCAGACUGGCAUUUUCACUCCUUAACACAGAAUGCUAUGAAAAUCUGCAUUACAUAAACACUAAUUUCUUUACGUCGAGUAGAAAAGGACGAGUAGAAGAGAAGCUGAGAGAGAAAAUGUGAGACCUUUUUUAGAAAAUGUGACAAUAUAUAAUGAAUUGUGUUUAUAUUAUAUAUCGUCAACAAGAGACAUGACUCUGAUCGAUUGUGUUUAUAUUAUAUAUCGUCAACAAGAGACAUGACUCCGAUUGACCCAAUCCUCUCGAAGACAGUGACUACGCUUAUAAAAGAAAUAGUAGUGUUUUGUACAUACACACGUCAUCCUGAUAACAAUCGAGGAACUUGGUUCAUGACAUAAUCUUAAAAAAUAAAAUCUAUUUCGUGUUCA